CGCCCAAAGCUGGGCUAGUUAUCAUUUCUCCCAAAGUGGUUCCUGUUCCAGUGUUGCCAUCAGAUUGAUGACACCACCCCGGGGUAGCACCCAUGUCAGUACCCAGGUGGCCAUCAAAUCCUGCAGCUCCCCUGGUUUCCCUCUGACAUGAUGACACCUACUGGUCUUAGCAGAAACAGCACCCUCCUUAUUCCCGACCUAAGAUCCGAUGGGAAUGUAAAUAGCCUGCGGGCUGCCGGUGCAUUAAUGGUGGGGUGUGGGAAGGUCGGGCACAUAGUAGGUCCUCAAUAAAUAUUUCUUGAAUCAGCAAGAGGAA
Vicugna pacos (alpaca) is the source of this 316-nucleotide non-coding RNA. The record is from RefSeq and is a predicted model, not a curated record. NCBI's taxonomy places the organism in Eukaryota, Metazoa, Chordata, Mammalia, Artiodactyla, Camelidae.